GACGAACGCUGGCGGCGUGCCUAAUACAUGCAAGUGGGACGCAAGGAAACACACUGUGCUUGCACACCGUGUUUUCUUGAGUCGCGAACGGGUGAGUAACGCGUAGGUAACCUGCCUAUUAGCGGGGGAUAACUAUUGGAAACGAUAGCUAAUACCGCAUAAUAUUAAUUAUUGCAUGAUAAUUGAUUGAAAGAUGCAAGCGCAUCACUAGUAGAUGGACCUGCGUUGUAUUAGCUAGUUGGUAAGGUAAGAGCUUACCAAGGCGACGAUACAUAGCCGACCUGAGAGGGUGAUCGGCCACACUGGGACUGAGACACGGCCCAGACUCCUACGGGAGGCAGCAGUAGGGAAUCUUCGGCAAUGGACGAAAGUCUGACCGAGCAACGCCGCGUGAGUGAAGAAGGUUUUCGGAUCGUAAAGCUCUGUUGUAAGUCAAGAACGUGUGUGAGAGUGGAAAGUUCACACAGUGACGGUAGCUUACCAGAAAGGGGCGGCUAACUACGUG
Molecule: ribosomal RNA, 505 nt
Filed under: uncultured bacterium
Lineage: Bacteria
Description: partial 16S ribosomal RNA
Rfam family: Bacterial small subunit ribosomal RNA
Source: RNAcentral